This 253-nucleotide ribosomal RNA is filed under the name uncultured bacterium. RNAcentral's name for it is "partial 16S ribosomal RNA". It matches the Rfam family "Bacterial small subunit ribosomal RNA", at positions 524 to 776 of the family's 1533-position model. The record is from RNAcentral.
UACGUAGGGUGCGAGCGUUGUCCGGAUUUAUUGGGCGUAAAGAGCUCGUAGGCGGUUUGUCGCGUCUGCUGUGAAAACUGGAGGCUCAACCUCCAGCCUGCAGUGGGUACGGGCAAACUAGAGUGCGGUAGGGGAGAUUGGAAUUCCUGGUGUAGCGGUGGAAUGCGCAGAUAUCAGGAGGAACACCGAUGGCGAAGGCAGAUCUCUGGGCCGUAACUGACGCUGAGGAGCGAAAGCAUGGGGAGCGAACAGG